This 1094-nucleotide ribosomal RNA is filed under the name uncultured ammonia-oxidizing bacterium. RNAcentral's name for it is "bacterial SSU rRNA". It matches the Rfam family "Bacterial small subunit ribosomal RNA", at positions 137 to 1229 of the family's 1533-position model. The record is from RNAcentral.
UGGGGGAUAACGCAUCGAAAGAUGUGCUAAUACCGCAUAAUCUCUGAGGAGAAAAGCAGGGGAUCUUACAGCCUUGUGCUUUUGGAGCGGCCGAUGCCUGAUUAGCUAGUUGGUGGGGUAAAGGCCUACCAAGGCUUCGAUCAGUAGCUGGUCUGAGAGGACGACCAGCCCCACUGGGACUGAGACACGGCCCAGACUCCUACGGGAGCCAGCAGUGGGGAAUUUUGGACAAUGGGGGCAACCCUGAUCCAGCCAUGCCGCGUGAGUGAAGAAGGCCUUCGGGUUGUAAAGCUCUUUCAGUUGGGAAGAAAAGGUUGCAGAUAAUACCUGUAACUCAUGACGGUACCAACAGAAGAAGCACCGGCUAACUACGUGCCAGCCGCCGCGGUAAUACCUAGGGUGCGAGCGUUAAUCGGAAUUACUGGGCGUAAAGGGUGCGCAGGCGGUCUUGUAAGUCAGAUGUGAAAUCCCCGGGCUUAACCUGGGAACUGCGUUUGAAACUACAAGACUAGAGUGUACCAGAGGGGGGUGGAAUUCCACGUGUAGCAGUGAAAUGCGUAGCGAUGUGGAAGAACACCGAUGGUGAAGGCAGCCCCCUGGGUUAACACUGACGCUCAGGCACGAAAGCGUGGGGAGCAAACAGGAUUACAUACCCUGGUAGUCCACGCCCUAAACGAUGUCAACUAGUUGUCGGGUCUUUAUAGAUUUGGUAACGUAGCUAACGCGUGAAGUUGACCGCCUGGGGAGUACGGUCGCAAGAUUAAAACUCAAAGGAAUUGACGGGGACCCGCACAAGCGGUGGAUUAUGUGGAUUAAUUCGAUGCAGCGCGAAGAACCUUACCUACCCUUGACAUGUAGUGAACACUCUAUAGAUAGAGUACUGGCUUCUGGGAACCUACCACCGGUGCUGCAUGGAUGUCGUCAGCUCGUGUCGUGAGAUGUUGGGUUAAGUCCCGGCACGAGCGCAUCCAUCGUCUUAAAUUGCCAUCAUUUAGGUGGGCACUUUAAUGAGACUGCCGGUGACAAACCGGAAGAAGGUGGGGAUGACGUCAAGUCCUCAUGGCCCUUAUGGGUAGGGCUUCACACGUAAUACA